UUUGUGUACAAGCCAUCUGUGCUUAGGUCUACGGAAUGAUAGGAGGAAGGAGACAUGUCGUUGAGUGUAUUCUCCUGCUUUGAUAGUCGAUGAACCAGGAGAUCCUGCUCUUGGGAUACUGCCAUAUGGGUAUGGGCCAGUAUAUGUCGUUGGUGCCUUAGUAGAAUUACCGGAGAUUGGUCGUUAGGCGGGGGCUGCUAAUGAAGAUCACAGGGUCUUCUUGCUCUAUGAUCGAUGGUUCCGACUACCAGGGUCGGUCCUUGGGUGCCUCUUGAUCUGUAGUUGAUGGUUCCGGCUACCAAGGUCGGUCCUUGG
RNAcentral lists this long non-coding RNA (315 nucleotides) under Brassica napus (rape). Its description in RNAcentral is "long non-coding RNA (BNAP_LNC014997)". The record is from RNAcentral. Lineage: Eukaryota; Viridiplantae; Streptophyta; Magnoliopsida; Brassicales; Brassicaceae.